UCUUCUUUCAUUUUCUUUCUUCUUCUUCAUUCUUCUUCUACUCUUCUCUUCUUUUCUUCUCCGACGAUUCUGAGAGUUUCCUGGGUAUGUGAGAUCGAUCAUCGUAGGAGUUAUGCUAAGGAUUGAUGUCUGGUGGUGGUGAUUGUUGUUUACUGUUACGGGAAAAGAAGGAGUUGUUACUGUGAUAAUCAAAAAUUAGGGUUUUUAGAUUAAGACUCGAAUUGGUAAUUGAGUUGCUAAUGGUUAAAUAACGAGGGGGUUGACGUUCGAUUGAAGUGGUGAGGUUGUUUGAAGUGGAAUUGAGGAGUUAGGGUUUCAUUAGAUGAACCAAAGAAGGAUUGGAAAAUGAAAUUGAGGUUUUAGCAGAGUAAUUGGAGAUGUGUUUUGUUUAAUUAAAGAAUUAGCAUGUUGUUUUGUGUUCGAAUCAGAGAAGCUUUAAUUUGGUAAUUAUUUUAGGGUUCUUCUGAGAAUAAAUGAUGGGGAUGAAGAUUGUGAGUUGACAGCUAGGGCUCGAUUAUGUUAGUAAGAAGAUGUUAUAGCUAUUAUUGGUGUUGAUUCAAGACUCGGGAGAAAAGGGGAGGAGAUGUGUAUUGGUGGUGGAGCUGUAAUUGAAAUUGAUUUGGUGAAUUAGGAAUGCAAAUUACAGUUUGUAAGGAGGGUGUUGAAUUGAUUUGGCAGAUUUGUUACAUGGGUGUGUCGGUUGUUGCAGAACUGGAGUUGCAGUUGCAGAGUUGUGUUGCUGCUGAGUUGUAGAUGUAUGAAUCAGUUGUGAGGUGAAUGGGUAAUGGAAUUGAGUAACUGUGGUGUUUUGGAGUGAAUGGAAUUAGAACUGCUUAGUGUUGCAGAGUUAUAGUAGUAUGGUUGAAGUUGCAGGGGAUAUGAGUGAUCUGCUGAAGUUGUGGAGUGCAGCUUGUGGUUGUAAUUGAUCUGAGUUGGGUUGCCUGAAGUACUAGUGAUGUUGUUGUUCAUGGUGUAAUGGUUAUGUAUUGAGGAUUUGUAGAUGAAACUGAAAUGUUGAGUUAUGAUGUGUGAGUUGCAGUUAAGGUUUAGAUGAGAGGAUUGAAUUGGUGUUAGUUGUUGUUAGUGUUGUUGUAAAAGCUUGGAACUGCAAUUGCAGGUAGGCUUAAAUUACAAUUGUAUUGAAUUAUAGAAUUAUGUUUGAAUAGAUUGAAAUUGAAAUAUAGUUAAGAGCUCAAA
This is a long non-coding RNA of Papaver somniferum (opium poppy), 1197 nucleotides long. RefSeq lists it as uncharacterized. The record is from RefSeq and is a predicted model, not a curated record. NCBI's taxonomy places the organism in Eukaryota, Viridiplantae, Streptophyta, Magnoliopsida, Ranunculales, Papaveraceae. The transcript is spliced from 2 exons.